UCCGGAAAGGGACGCCCGCAAAGGGUAGCGAGCGGUAGGGGAGCUGUUGCUGCUAAUAUGGCGGCUCCGAGGUGGUGGGCGGCGACUGCUGAGCGGGAAGCAGUUUGCGGAGCAAAAGGAAGGUGGGGAGGAGAAGAGAGAGAGGCGUGGAAUCAGCGGAACUCUGAGCCAGAGGCCAUCAUCAUCUGGAACCUCUCCGGGCACCUCGGUCCAGCAGGGCGCUGUAAGAAUGAGAUUGAAGGCGGAGCCGGGUUUCUGGACUGAGAAGGAAUAGCCCUGGAACCUUCAUGUCCGUCCCCUUCCGUGUGUUACUCUGGCGAGUUACCCUGGGAAUCCUGCAUCUGGUGCCCGCGUAUCCCCAGUCCUCCAUUGCAGGGCAUUUUGGAGAGCCAGCGGGAAAGGCCUCUGGUGGACUGAGAGAAGACAUGUCCUUACACCGGUCCCCAUACUUGACACACAGUAGACAGUCAUUGCAUGUUUAAUUUUUUUAAAGUCCCAAACCUUGAGUUCUACUUGUUGACUUGACAGUGUCAAGCUUGGAGACUAAUGUUAUUAUUUCCCCCUUUCAACUCAGGAAAGGGAAAUAAGAGGUGUAUAAAAGUUUUGAGAAACUCAGUGCAUGUUUAAUGAGACUUUAAUGUGAUAAAUCCCUUCAUUCUGUUCUAGAAACUUCCAUGGCCAAGUGGGUCAAAUAUAAACUGUUUGUCACAACACCUUAUUGGAACUUUUAAAAAUAUAUUUAUUUUGGGCGGGGAUAGAUAGCAUAAUAGUUAUGUAAAAAGACUCAUUCCUGAGGCUCCAAAGUCCCAGGUUCAAUCCCCCGCACCACCAUAAACCAGAGCUGAAUAGUGCUCUGAAAAAAAAAACUAUUAAAAAAUAUUGCUAGGACAGAGAGAAAUUGAGAGAAAGAAGAUAGUGAGAAGGACAUCUGCAGACCUGCUUCAAUACCCAAAAAACUUUCUCCUAACAGAUAGAGAGUGAGAGACAGAGUACACUGAGGAGAGAUACCACAGCGACAUUCCAGGACUUGUGAAGCUUCCCUUUACAUGGUGCUCCCAUGUUGAGCCUGUAGACUCAAACCAGGAUCUGGAGGCAUGGUAAAGUGUACACUCUGCUGGUUAGGUUUAUUGCUGGAACUUGGUGCCUACAUAACUUCAUUUCCAUUGGCCAUUGUUUGACAGAGGUUUAGAGACACAUGGAGACAGAGAAGCGGAGACAUUUGCAGGAUUGCUCCACCAUGAGUGAAAUUUCCAUCAUUACAAGUGGGGACUGGAGUCUUGAACUUGGAUUCUCACACAAGCUCUCUCUUCCCACUGUCCCCCCGACAACAACCAUUCUUCCAUAUUGUGGAAGAAGGAAGAUUCUGGGACCACUUGAAAGACAUGGUGUAAGUAUGUUUGUCAAUACAAGACUCCUUUCGAUCCCCCACUGAAUCAGAAGUUAUGCUUUCCUUUUUAUUUCUCCAUUCCUGUAGUUUUUUUGUG
Long non-coding RNA from Erinaceus europaeus (western European hedgehog), 1484 nucleotides. RefSeq lists it as uncharacterized. The record is from RefSeq and is a predicted model, not a curated record. The transcript has 4 exons. Lineage: Eukaryota; Metazoa; Chordata; Mammalia; Eulipotyphla; Erinaceidae.